UUUAAACUAGAAAAUAAGCCUAAGACAGCAACGGACACAAGUCUUAAUUAUGUUGCCCAGGUAAAUUCCAUGUUUUCUUUAUGUGGUAAUUAAUACUCGGGUUCUCUCGAGUUUUUACAUUGCUUA
Entomoplasmatales bacterium EntAcro10 is the source of this 126-nucleotide non-coding RNA. NCBI's taxonomy places the organism in Bacteria, Bacillati, Mycoplasmatota, Mollicutes, Entomoplasmatales. The record is from Rfam.